This 496-nucleotide ribosomal RNA is filed under the name uncultured bacterium. RNAcentral describes it as "partial 16S ribosomal RNA". It matches the Rfam family "Bacterial small subunit ribosomal RNA", at positions 28 to 506 of the family's 1533-position model. The record is from RNAcentral.
GAUGAACGCUGGCGGCGUGCCUAAUACAUGCAAGUCGAGCGAACGGACGAGAAGCUUGCUUCUCUGAUGUUAGCGGCGGACGGGUGAGUAACACGUGGAUAACCUACCUAUAAGACUGGGAUAACUUCGGGAAACCGGAGCUAAUACCGGAUAAUAUUUUGAACCGCAUGGUUCAAAAGUGAAAGACAGUCUUGCUGUCACUUAUAGAUGGAUCCGCGCUGCAUUAGCUAGUUGGUAAGGUAACGGCUUACCAAGGCAACGAUGCAUAGCCGACCUGAGAGGGUGAUCGGCCACACUGGAACUGAGACACGGUCCAGACUCCUACGGGAGGCAGCAGUAGGGAAUCUUCCGCAAUGGGCGAAAGCCUGACGGAGCAACGCCGCGUGAGUGAUGAAGGUCUUCGGAUCGUAAAACUCUGUUAUUAGGGAAGAACAUAUGUGUAAGUAACUGUGCACAUCUUGACGGUACCUAAUCAGAAAGCCACGGCUAACUACGU